This 231-nucleotide ribosomal RNA is filed under the name Vibrio eleionomae. Its description in RNAcentral is "Bacterial small subunit ribosomal RNA". It matches the Rfam family "Bacterial small subunit ribosomal RNA", at positions 1 to 218 of the family's 1533-position model. The record is from Rfam by way of RNAcentral. Lineage: Bacteria; Pseudomonadati; Pseudomonadota; Gammaproteobacteria; Vibrionales; Vibrionaceae.
UAAUUGAAGAGUUUGAUCAUGGCUCAGAUUGAACGCUGGCGGCAGGCCUAACACAUGCAAGUCGAGCGGCAGCGACAUAAACAAACCUUCGGGGGCGCUUAUGGGCGGCGAGCGGCGGACGGGUGAGUAAUGCCUGGGAAAUUGCCCUGAUGUGGGGGAUAACCAUUGGAAACGAUGGCUAAUACCGCAUAAUAGCUUCGGCUCAAAGAGGGGGACCUUCGGGCCUCUCGC